UCUGGUGUCAGCCGCCGCGGUAAUACCAGCUCUCCGAGUGGUGUGGAUGUUUAUUGGGCCUAAAACACCCGUAGCUGGCCAAGUUAGUCCCCUGUUAAAUCCACCGAAUUAAUCGUUGGAGUGCGGGGGAUACUGCUCGGCUAGGGGACGAGAGAGGCCGACGGUAUUUUCGGGGUAGGGGUGAAAUCCUAUAAUCCUGGGAGGACCACCAGUGGCGAAGGCGGUCGGCUAGAACGCGCCCGACGGUGAGGGACGAAAGCUGGGGGAGCGAACCGGAUUAGAUACCCGGGUAGUCCCAGCUGUAAACUAUGCGGGCUAGGUGUUGGAGCGGCCACGAGCCGCUUCAGUGCCGCACGGAAGCAAUUAA
This 367-nucleotide ribosomal RNA is filed under the name uncultured archaeon. RNAcentral describes it as "bacterial SSU rRNA". It matches the Rfam family "Archaeal small subunit ribosomal RNA", at positions 451 to 818 of the family's 1478-position model. The record is from RNAcentral.